AGGACGAACGCUGGCGGCGUGCUUAACACAUGCAAGUCGAGCGGUAAGGCCCUUUCGGGGGUACACGAGCGGCGAACGGGUGAGUAACACGUGGGUGACCUGCCCUUAGCUCUGGGAUAAGCCUGGGAAACUGGGUCUAAUACCGGAUAUGACUCCACGGUGCAUGUCGUGGGGUGGAAAGCCUUGUGCGGCUGAGGAUGGGCCCGCGGCCUAUCAGCUUGUUGGUGGGGUGAUUGCCUACCAAGGCGACGACGGGUAGCCGGCCUGAGAGGGCGACCGGCCACACUGGGACUGAGACACGGCCCAGACUCCUACGGGAGGCAGCAGUGGGGAAUAUUGGACAAUGGGCGCAAGCCUGAUCCAGCCAUGCCGCGUGAGUGAUGAAGGCCCUAGGGUUGUAAAGCUCUUUUGUGCGGGAAGAUAAUGACGGUACCGCAAGAAUAAGCCCCGGCUAACUUCGCGCCAGCAGCCGC
This 473-nucleotide ribosomal RNA is filed under the name uncultured bacterium. Its description in RNAcentral is "SSU rRNA". It matches the Rfam family "Bacterial small subunit ribosomal RNA", at positions 26 to 518 of the family's 1533-position model. The record is from RNAcentral.